GAUGAACGCUGGCGGCGUGCUUAACACAUGCAAGUCGAACGGAAAGGCCCCUGCUUGCAGGGGUACUCGAGUGGCGAACGGGUGAGUAACACGUGGGUGAUCUGCCCUGCACUUCGGGAUAAGCCUGGGAAACUGGGUCUAAUACCGGAUAGGACCACAUUUUGGAUGGUGUGGUGGAAAGAUUUUCGGUGUGGGAUGAGCUCGCGGCCUAUCAGCUUGUUGGUGGGGUAAUGGCCUACCAAGGCGUCGACGGGGAGCCGGCCUGAGAGGGUGUACGGCCACAUUGUGAGUGAGAGACGGGCCAGACUCCUACGGGGGGCAGCAGUGGGGAAUAUUGUACAAUGGGGGCAAGACUGAGGCAGCGACGCCGCGUGGGGGAUGACGGCCUUCGGGUUGUAAACACCUUUCGCUAGGGACGAAGCGUUUUUGUGACGGUACCUGGAGAAGAAGCACCGGCUAACUACGUG
RNAcentral lists this ribosomal RNA (467 nucleotides) under uncultured bacterium. Its description in RNAcentral is "partial 16S ribosomal RNA". It matches the Rfam family "Bacterial small subunit ribosomal RNA", at positions 28 to 507 of the family's 1533-position model. The record is from RNAcentral.